AAUCAACGCUGGCGGCGUGCCUAACACAUGCAAGUCGAACGAGAAAGUGACUUCGGUCACUGGACAGUGGCGUCCGGGUGAGUAACACGUGGGUAAUCUACCUUCGGGUGGGGAAUAACGUCUCGAAAGAGACGCUAAUACCGCAUAAUGCAGCGGCACCUUAUGGUGAAUAGUUGUUAAAGCGGGGGAUCGCAAGACCUCGCGCCUGAAGAGGAGCCUGCGGCAGANAGCUAGUUGGUGAGGUAAUGGCUCACCAAGGCUGCGAUCUGUAGCUGGUCUGAGAGGAUGAUCAGCCACACUGGAACUGAGACACGGUCCAGACUCCUACGGGAGGCAGCAGUGGGGAAUAUUGGACAAUGGGCGCAAGCCUGAUCCAGCCAUGCCGCGUGUGUGAAGAAGGCC
Molecule: ribosomal RNA, 402 nt
Filed under: uncultured bacterium
Lineage: Bacteria
Description: bacterial SSU rRNA
Rfam family: Bacterial small subunit ribosomal RNA
Source: RNAcentral